GACGAACGCUGGCGGCGUGCUUAACACAUGCAAGUCGAACGGAAAGGCCCUGCUUGCAGGGUACUCGAGUGGCGAACGGGUGAGUAACACGUGGGUGAUCUGCCCUGCGCUUCGGGAUAAGCCUGGGAAACUGGGUCUAAUACCGGAUAGGAGCCAUUUUUAGUGUGAUGGUUGUAAAGUUUUUUCGGUGUAGGAUGAGCUCGCGGCCUAUCAGCUUGUUGGUGGGGUAAUGGCCUACCAAGGCGGCGACGGGUAGCCGGCCUGAGAGGGUGGACGGCCACAUUGGGACUGAGAUACGGCCCAGACUCCUACGGGAGGCAGCAGUGGGGAAUAUUGCACAAUGGGCGCAAGCCUGAUGCAGCGACGCCGCGUGGGGGAUGACGGCCUUCGGGUUGUAAACUCCUUUCGCUAGGGACGAAGCUUUUUGUGACGGUACCUAGAUAAGAAGCACCGGCUAACUACGUG
Molecule: ribosomal RNA, 465 nt
Filed under: uncultured bacterium
Lineage: Bacteria
Description: partial 16S ribosomal RNA
Rfam family: Bacterial small subunit ribosomal RNA
Source: RNAcentral